AACAAUAAUCAUUCAUAUAUAUUAGAAGUUCCAUAAAAGCUUACAAAGUAUUCAACAUGGGCCAACAUAACAAAGGUUCUGCCCUCACAAAUUACAUCUAAAUAAGUUCUACUACUAGCACCAUAUGCUGCUACUAAUUUAUACAUGUACAGCCAUGUCACCUACCACAACAUCCUAGUUUUAGCCAAGUCCAUCUAACAUUCAGUUACUACUAAGUUACCAUCCACAGCCAAACAUGUUCAGAAGACAAAAGACAGCCACCAACUUAUGUUGUUCAGUGGACAAAAGUCACUUUGACAACCCAUGUGCUAUUUCUCCCAAUAGCAACCUUACCAUAUGUAUCCCAAAUCACAGAAAUCAUCGAUGUUUGAUCCAGCAUUGCUGGCCCCAUUGUUGUCGUCGAUGUCCUCUUCAUCCCUGUCCUCUUCAUCCCCUUCGUCCUCCUCAUACAUCUCUUCAUUCAUGUCCUCAUCCGUGUCCUCUCCUUCCAUGUAGCUACCAUCCAUGUCCUCUUCGUCCUCUCCAUCCAUGUCCUCACCAUCCAAGUCCUCAUCAACAUGGGAUGAACUAGUGGACAGCUGCAAAAUGAUAAUACUAUGUAAAUAUCAAUUGGAUUUUAGGAGUGAUGAACAAUAAUUAAUUGUCUUCUUUAUGAUUUCCUUUUACACCAAGACCAUAUAUGAAGCAUAUACAAGUGAAUAGUGGCCCUAACAAGAAAUAAAAUGAACUAAUAUUCCAUGAAAUUCUGUUGCUGAAAGAAUUAUUUAGACAUGUAUAAGAUUUCAAAGUCUAUUUCAUCAUCUACUAGCUAUGUCAAACCUUCAGAUUCCUGUAAGACUAAAUUAUUCCUUAGUGGAGGUGGCAAGUUUCAGUAUCUAGAAGUACAGCUUACCAUGAGGUUAAAACUAAGAUGGAAAGUUGGAAACUACAGUAACCAUCAACAUGAGGACACUCCCUCACUGCUGCACUGCGUGUUGUCAUUCUGACAUCAAAACAUAUCAGUUGUCUACUUAAAAUGGUUUAGACUAGCUGUUUUGUUUUUUCAUAAUUAAUACUGAUUUCAUAGGUACAAGUAUCAAGUUAAUGUACUUAC
This 1093-nucleotide long non-coding RNA is filed under the name Sorghum bicolor (sorghum). RNAcentral describes it as "long non-coding RNA (SBIC_LNC011562)". The record is from RNAcentral. Lineage: Eukaryota; Viridiplantae; Streptophyta; Magnoliopsida; Poales; Poaceae.